Long non-coding RNA from Pipistrellus kuhlii (Kuhl's pipistrelle), 1496 nucleotides. RefSeq lists it as uncharacterized. The transcript has 7 exons. NCBI's taxonomy places the organism in Eukaryota, Metazoa, Chordata, Mammalia, Chiroptera, Vespertilionidae. The record is from RefSeq and is a predicted model, not a curated record.
CGAAAAUAAUUUUAUGGUUGGGGGGUCACCACAACAUGAGGAACUGUAUUAAAGGGUCGCGGCAUUAGGAAGGUUGAGAACCCCUGGUCUACAGGGAAGCCUCAAACCCACUGACUGGACUUGUUUUUUGCUUUCAUGAAUGCCCUAAUUUAGAAGAAUACAUUUAUGUACAUUUUUUUCCAUCUUAGUUUUUGGUGUUAUUUUAGUUGCAACUAUGUAGUGUGCCUUAUUAACCUCAUUCUCUCGUUGUAUUCAUAGCACAAUCAAGAGCCUAAACUUUGGAGUAUCCCUUUCAUUUCUCUUCAAGUGAGGUUCUGAUUGAACAGGUCACACUGUCUUGUGAACAGUAGUGCAUUCCUUUUUGGGAAAAGGACACCCAAACAAGGAGCUACAUUAGAGAACUCUAAGCGGUUCUUUGCCAUUUCCCGUUCACACACUUGGAGAAUAACUAGGAGUAAGAGUUCAGGCCCUCUCUGUGGGUCCAUUAACCACCUCCAAGCAGCUGUGGACUCUGCAUUUCAGAGAGACUUUGGUUGGUGACCAGCCACAUCAGUCUCUUGAGGGAGCCAGAGGUUCCUUCCAGGGAGGAGUCAUGAGCUAAGUGGCAGUGAGAAUCCCUGGAGUGCUGUACCGCCAGACCGUUCCAGGAGAGAGGAAACGCUCCCCGACUGUGGCCAGAUCCUCCCGCCGUCCCUGUAAGUCCUCUGUGGAAGGAGAGACCCUGGCAGUGUGCUGUGGAACCGCUGAGACAUGGGACACAGAUUGGCCAGAAUGGACUCCCUUCCAGAUCAGCCUCUGAACAGAUCCUUGUCUGAAGUUAUUCACUCACAUAGAAGACCAAAAGGGACAUGGUUAUCCUGACUUCCCACUGCAGUGUGCCAGGAAACUGGAAGAAGGCGGUGGCGUGCAGGACAUCCGCGGCAUGGGUGGAGUUGUGGUAAGCAUUGGAGGAGUGGUAGUUGGCUUCAAUCACUUGGAGCCAAGCCCGAAGAGUCGUUUCAGAACAGCGUAAAAAUUCACACACUCCAAACCGGGAAAAGACCUUUAAGCCCAGGUGUGAGGCAUUCACAUCCACACCCCUGGAAGAAAUAGCCUCCUACUAUAGAAGAGGACUUUCUGAGUCCCUAGGAUGAAUAAAAAGAACUCUCCAGUACACUCAAACUCAUUUUGUAAGAUGGGGCUUCAAAUCGGGGGCUGAGAAUGCUUGGAGCUCUUGCCUCAUUAGCACAAAGAAAUGACCUGUGUACAUGUGAAAAGGACUCAGCAUUUCCUCAUCCGGGGUCAUCACCAGGCUGAUCCCACACCUCACCCACUAAUACUCCCUCCAUAAAGGAGCUCGCUCAGGGGCCAUCGUCUCUGCUCUGCGAUACUCCUCCAGGACAGCACGAAAGGAACAGACUGCAAGGGCUGUGUCUCCCUCAAAGUUUCCAAUGUGGAGUCUUGAGCUUGGCCAUUAGUCCUCUCUGCCAGCAGCCAGAGAAGCUACAUACCUUUUA